GGGUUGUGAGGUUAAGCGACUAAGCGUACACGGUGGAUGCCCUGGCAGUCAGAGGCGAUGAAGGGCGUGCUAAUCUGCGAUAAGCGCCGGUAAGGUGAUAUGAACCGUUAUAACCGGCGAUACCCGAAUGGGGAAACCCAGUGUGAUUCGUCACACUAUCAUUAACUGAAUCCAUAGGUUAAUGAGGCGAACCGGGGGAACUGAAACAUCUAAGUACCCCGAGGAAAAGAAAUCAACCGAGAUUCCCCCAGUAGCGGCGAGCGAACGGGGAGGAGCCCAGAGCCUGAAUCAGCAUGUGUGUUAGUGGAAGCGUCUGGAAAGGUGCGCGAUACAGGGUGACAGCCCCGUACACAAAAGCGCAUGUGCUGUGAGCUCGAUGAGUAGGGCGGGACACGUGAUAUCCUGUCUGAAUAUGGGGGGACCAUCCUCCAAGGCUAAAUACUCCUGACUGACCGAUAGUGAACCAGUACCGUGAGGGAAAGGCGAAAAGAACCCCGGCGAGGGGAGUGAAAAAGAACCUGAAACCGUGUACGUACAAGCAGUGGGAGCACAGGUUUACCUGUGUGACUGCGUACCUUUUGUAUAAUGGGUCAGCGACUUAUAUUCUGUAGCAAGGUUAACCGUAUAGGGGAGCCGUAGGGAAACCGAGUCUUAACC
RNAcentral lists this ribosomal RNA (657 nucleotides) under Salmonella enterica subsp. enterica serovar Typhimurium. RNAcentral's name for it is "bacterial LSU rRNA". It matches the Rfam family "Bacterial large subunit ribosomal RNA", at positions 1 to 689 of the family's 2925-position model. The record is from RNAcentral. Lineage: Bacteria; Pseudomonadati; Pseudomonadota; Gammaproteobacteria; Enterobacterales; Enterobacteriaceae.